This 443-nucleotide ribosomal RNA is filed under the name uncultured bacterium. Its description in RNAcentral is "partial 16S ribosomal RNA". It matches the Rfam family "Bacterial small subunit ribosomal RNA", at positions 338 to 795 of the family's 1533-position model. The record is from RNAcentral.
CCUACGGGUGGCUGCAGUGGGGAAUAUUGGGCAAUGGGCGCAAGCCUGACCCAGCAACGCCGCGUGAAGGAAGAAGGCUUUCGGGAUGUAAACUUCUUUUAGUGAGGACGAAACAAAUGACGGUAGUCAAAGAAUAAGCGACGGCUAACGACGGGCCAGCAGCCGCGGUAAGACGGAGGUGGCAAGCGUUAGCCGGAUUUACUGGGUGUAAAGGGGGUGUAGGCGGGACUGCAAGGCAGAUGUGCAACCCAUGGGCUCAACCCCUGGCCUGCAUUUGCACCUGGAGUUCUUGAGUGCUGGAGAGGCAGGUGGACUUCCGUGUGUAGCGGUGACAUGCGUCGAUAUUCGGAGGAACACCAGUGGCGAAGGCGGCCUGCUGGACUUUAACUGACGCUGAGGCUCGAAAGCGUGGGGAGCAAACAGGAUUAGAUACCCCAGUAGUC